UGCAGCACUCUUAAGGUGUAGGAAAUGAGGGAAAACCAACCUGCUGCCCACAUUCCCAGCCUUCCCUGUGCUGCAGCACUGGCUCCUCAGCCUUGCAGCCAGAAUUACUGGCAGGUAAAUGUGCCACAGCCCUGGCUGAUAUCAAUAGGGGCUGUAGGGAAGGAGUAAGGAUGAACUCUCACUGCAAAGGGCACAGACUGGAGGUUUAGAAGGAGUACUGUGACACAAAUAUCCUCAGCCGGAUGACAGAGCUGCCUCUGAAGUUGAUGACGGUGUUUACAGUGAUCAUUUCCAAGUCCAGCUCGAUCGUGCGCGGCCCCUUCACGGGCCGGGUCAUCACCAGGGUGGCACUGAUGGGUCCUGUUUGCUGUGCAGGAAACAAGAGAAAGCAGUGGGAAUCUGAGGCUCUUGUGAGAAAUAUGUCCUGGAAUCUAUCCCACUACCCCUGUCCAUGAGGGAUGGGAACCUUCAGUAGCCACAGAACAGGACUUAAUGUGAAUGUCAGAGCCAGGUUUUGCCUGGAGCUGAAA
Long non-coding RNA from Zonotrichia leucophrys gambelii, 530 nucleotides. RefSeq lists it as uncharacterized. The record is from RefSeq and is a predicted model, not a curated record. Lineage: Eukaryota; Metazoa; Chordata; Aves; Passeriformes; Passerellidae. The transcript has 3 exons.